Gallus gallus (chicken) is the source of this 384-nucleotide long non-coding RNA. The record is from Ensembl. NCBI's taxonomy places the organism in Eukaryota, Metazoa, Chordata, Aves, Galliformes, Phasianidae.
CUUUGAAGGUGAUUCCAGUCUUUAUCAAGUCAGAUGUUUAGUUUAGCGCUGUAUUACUCUUGGUAUGGGAAACCUAAUACAGUACAGUGUAAAACAAAUUCAGAUAUUGUGAAAAAGUAUAUCAGUGUUCCCAAGAUAAGGAAAAGUACAGCUUCGUGUGCAGUAUUUGUAUUCAGACUUAUUUUCUGCCUGUGAAAUAGCUGUGGGUCAAAAGACACAUAAAAAUCAACUGAAGUAGCCUUUAAGACAGUUGCUCACCCAUGUGUGUACUGCCAGAAGCAAUGAUGUGAGUAAGGCAUGACUGUGAACUGUGGGAUAUCUUUCUCUGAGUUGAACAGAAAGGAUGUGCCAUGCUGUGUGAUCAGGACAGUUAAAAGAUUUCAG